GUAACAAAUAAAAAUAAAUGUGAAUCUUGUCGUUAAAUUUAGACUAACGAUCUUCAAUAAUGUCAUUGAAAUGUUAAUCGUGAAACUCGUGCUUAAAAAAUUCCCGCGGAAAUGUGUGUACUCGUGGUUUACGUAAAUAACGUAUCGGACGUAAGUGUAUUUGACACUAUUUUUCUCUGUUAGAUUAUAUUAUAAUCGUGUAUUAUUUGCGAUAUUAUUUUUUUUUUUAAAUAAACUUGAUUUAGAAAAGAAUGCUGUUUUACUGGAUAAAACAAAGACUCUUUUAACUGUUUUUGUAGAAAUGAAAUACGUGCUCCCUUUACGUUCGUUCGUACCUUUCGUCAAUUUGUAAGAAAGCUCUAAUCGG
RNAcentral lists this long non-coding RNA (367 nucleotides) under Mytilus galloprovincialis (Mediterranean mussel). The record is from RNAcentral. Lineage: Eukaryota; Metazoa; Mollusca; Bivalvia; Mytilida; Mytilidae.